This 621-nucleotide ribosomal RNA is filed under the name uncultured bacterium. RNAcentral's name for it is "bacterial SSU rRNA". It matches the Rfam family "Bacterial small subunit ribosomal RNA", at positions 63 to 676 of the family's 1533-position model. The record is from RNAcentral.
CGAGGGGCAGCGGGGUAGUGCUUGCACUACUGCCGGCGACCGGCGCACGGGUGAGUAACACGUAUGGAACCUGCCCGCAGCAGGGGGAUAAGCGGAAGAAAUUCCGUCUAAUACCGCGUAACAACGUUGGGAGGCAUCUCCCGAUGUUUAAAGAUUUAUCGGCUGCGGAUGGCCAUGCGGCGCAUUAGCUAGUCGGCGGGGUAACGGCCCACCGAGGCGACGAUGCGUAGGGGUUCUGAGAGGAAGGUCCCCCACACUGGUACUGAGACACGGACCAGACUCCUACGGGAGGCAGCAGUGAGGAAUAUUGGUCAAUGGCCGAGAGGCUGAACCAGCCAAGUCGCGUGAGGGAAGACGGCCCUACGGGUUGUAAACCUCUUUUGUCGGGGAGCAAAGCGAACCACGUGUGGUUCAUUGAGAGUACCCGAAGAAAAAGCAUCGGCUAACUCCGUGCCAGCAGCCGCGGUAAUACGGAGGAUGCGAGCGUUAUCCGGAUUUAUUGGGUUUAAAGGGUGCGCAGGCGGAGGUGCAAGUCAGCGGUCAAAUUGCGGGGCUCAACCCCGUACUGCCGUUGAAACUGCAUCCCUUGAGUGCGCGAGAAGUAUGCGGAAUGCGUGGUGU